CAUCCAUACAUCCAUUCACCCACCCAUCCACCCCUUCAUCAUCCAUCUGUCCAUCCAUCCAUCCAAUGUGUCUUCUUGCAGGUUCUUCAGGUACCCCUGGCUCCAGUGAGAAUUCUACCCCGAAUGUGUAUAAGACUCCUCCGACCACCACUAAGGCCUUGCGCCCACUCUAUACCAGCCCCACAACUGUGACCCAAGCUCCACCCAAGUCAACUGCCGAUGUCUCCACUCCUGACUCUGAAAUCAACCUUACAAAUGUGACAGAUAUCAUCAGGGUUCCUGUGUUCAACAUUGCCAUUCUCGUGGCUGGUGGAUUCCUGAGUAAGAGCCUGGUCUUCUCUGUCCUGUUUGCUGUCACGCUGAGGUCAUUUGUACCCUAGGCCCACGAACCCAUGAGAAUGUCCUCUGACUUCCGGCCACAUCCAUCUGGCAGUUGUGCCAAGGGAGGAGGGAGGAAGUAAAAGGCAGGGAGUUAAUAACAUGAAUUAAAUCUGUAAUCACAGGCUAUUUCUAAAGUCA
Molecule: small RNA, 519 nt
Filed under: Pongo abelii (Sumatran orangutan)
Lineage: Eukaryota; Metazoa; Chordata; Mammalia; Primates; Hominidae
Description: retained intron
Source: RNAcentral